This 180-nucleotide unclassified non-coding RNA is filed under the name uncultured fungus. RNAcentral describes it as "sequence contains ITS1". Lineage: Eukaryota; Fungi. The record is from RNAcentral.
UUAACUUGUUUGCUUUUCUUCGAGAUGCCAACGCAACGAGACAGAGUAUAGUGGGCUGCCGGUGGAAUUAGGACCCCCGCCGAGACAUCCGCUGAAGCAGCGUGCUUGUUGUGAAGUUCACAGGGUGGUAUGAGUCUUGCGAGUCCUGUAAUGACCCCUCCGCUGGUUCACUAACGGGGA